AACGUACGCUGGCGGCACGCCUAACACAUGCAAGUCGAACGCAGUAGCAAUACUGAGUGGCAGACGGGUGAGUAACAUGUGGGAAUCUGCCUUGUGGUUCAGGACAACAUUGGGACACCGAUGCUAAUACUGGAUAAGCCCUUACGGGGAAAGUUUUAAUGCCAUAAGAUGAGCCCACAUUUGAUUAGUUAGUUGGUGAGGUAAUGGCUCACCAAGACAAUGAUCAAUAGCUGAUCUGAGAGGAUGAUCAGCCACACUGGGACUGAGACACGGCCCAGACUCCUGCGGGGGGCAGCAGUGGGGAAUCUUGCACAAUGGAGGAAACUCUGAUGCAGCGAUGCCGGGUGAGUGAAGAAGGCCUUUGGGUUGUAAAGCUCUUUUGUAGGGGAAGUUAAUGACGGUACGCUAAGAAUAAGGUCCGGCUAACUUCGUGCCAGCCGCCGCCGUAA
RNAcentral lists this ribosomal RNA (449 nucleotides) under uncultured bacterium. RNAcentral's name for it is "partial 16S ribosomal RNA". It matches the Rfam family "Bacterial small subunit ribosomal RNA", at positions 29 to 523 of the family's 1533-position model. The record is from RNAcentral.